CCUACGGGUGGCAGCAGUGGGGAAUAUUGCACAAUGGGCGCAAGCCCGAUGCAGCCAUGCCGCGUGUGUGAAGAAGGCCUUCGGGUUGUAAAGCACUUUCAGCGGGGAGGAAGGCGUUAAGGUUAAUAACCUUGUCGAUUGACGUUACCCGCAGAAGAAGCACCGGCUAACUCCGUGCCAGCAGCCGCGGUAAUACGGAGGGUGCAAGCGUUAAUCGGAAUUACUGGGCGUAAAGCGCACGCAGGCGGUCUGUCAAGUCGGAUGUGAAAUCCCCGGGCUCAACCUGGGAACUGCAUUCGAAACUGGGAGGCUAGAGUCUUGUAGAGGGGGGUAGAAUUCCAGGUGUAGCGGUGAAAUGCGUAGAGAUCUGGAGGAAUACCGGUGGCGAAGGCGGCCCCCUGGACAAAGACUGACGCUCAGGUGCGAAAGCGUGGGGAGCAAACAGGAUUAGAUACCCCUGUAGUC
Molecule: ribosomal RNA, 465 nt
Filed under: uncultured Klebsiella sp.
Lineage: Bacteria; Pseudomonadati; Pseudomonadota; Gammaproteobacteria; Enterobacterales; Enterobacteriaceae
Description: bacterial SSU rRNA
Rfam family: Bacterial small subunit ribosomal RNA
Source: RNAcentral